CAAGGCUUGACAUGAACCGGAAAGACCUGGAAACAGGUGCCCCGCUUGCGGUCGGUUUACAGGUGGUGCAUGGUUGUCGUCAGCUCGUGUCGUGAGAUGUUGGGUUAAGUCCCGCAACGAGCGCAACCCUCGUUCUAUGUUGCCAGCGGUUCGGCCGGGGACUCAUAGGAGACUGCCGGGGUCAACUCGGAGGAAGGUGGGGACGACGUCAAAUCAUCAUGCCCCUUAUGUCUUGGGCUUCACGCAUGCUACAAUGGCCGGUACAAAGGGUUGCGAUACUGUGAGGUGGAGCUAAUCCCAAAAAGCCGGUCUCAGUUCGGAUUGGGGUCUGCAACUCGACCCCAUGAAGUCGGAGUCGCUAGUAAUCGCAGAUCAGCAACGCUGCGGUGAAUACGUUCCCGGGCCUUGUACACACCGCCCGUCAAGUCACGAAAGUUGGUAACACCCGAAGCCGGUGGCCUAACCCUUGUGGGGGGAGCCGUCGAAGGUGGGACCGGCGAUUGGGACU
RNAcentral lists this ribosomal RNA (508 nucleotides) under uncultured bacterium. RNAcentral's name for it is "bacterial SSU rRNA". It matches the Rfam family "Bacterial small subunit ribosomal RNA", at positions 975 to 1482 of the family's 1533-position model. The record is from RNAcentral.